This 850-nucleotide ribosomal RNA is filed under the name Microbacterium sp. QJJN33. RNAcentral's name for it is "bacterial SSU rRNA". It matches the Rfam family "Bacterial small subunit ribosomal RNA", at positions 410 to 1271 of the family's 1533-position model. Lineage: Bacteria; Bacillati; Actinomycetota; Actinomycetes; Micrococcales; Microbacteriaceae. The record is from RNAcentral.
GACGGCCUUCGGGUUGUAAACCUCUUUUAGCAGGGAAGAAGCGAGAGUGACGGUACCUGCAGAAAAAGCACCGGCUAACUACGUGCCAGCAGCCGCGGUAAUACGUAGGGUGCAAGCGUUAUCCGGAAUUAUUGGGCGUAAAGAGCUCGUAGGCGGUCUGUCGCGUCUGCUGUGAAAUCCCGAGGCUCAACCUCGGGCUUGCAGUGGGUACGGGCAGACUAGAGUGCGGUAGGGGAGAUUGGAAUUCCUGGUGUAGCGGUGGAAUGCGCAGAUAUCAGGAGGAACACCGAUGGCGAAGGCAGAUCUCUGGGCCGUAACUGACGCUGAGGAGCGAAAGGGUGGGGAGCAAACAGGCUUAGAUACCCUGGUAGUCCACCCCGUAAACGUUGGGAACUAGUUGUGGGGUCCUUUCCACGGAUUCCGUGACGCAGCUAACGCAUUAAGUUCCCCGCCUGGGGAGUACGGCCGCAAGGCUAAAACUCAAAGGAAUUGACGGGGACCCGCACAAGCGGCGGAGCAUGCGGAUUAAUUCGAUGCAACGCGAAGAACCUUACCAAGGCUUGACAUACACGAGAACGGGCCAGAAAUGGUCAACUCUUUGGACACUCGUGAACAGGUGGUGCAUGGUUGUCGUCAGCUCGUGUCGUGAGAUGUUGGGUUAAGUCCCGCAACGAGCGCAACCCUCGUUCUAUGUUGCCAGCACGUAAUGGUGGGAACUCAUGGGAUACUGCCGGGGUCAACUCGGAGGAAGGUGGGGAUGACGUCAAAUCAUCAUGCCCCUUAUGUCUUGGGCUUCACGCAUGCUACAAUGGCCGGUACAAUGGGCUGCGAUACCGUAAGGUGGAGCGAA